UAUCCGUAGGUGAACCUGCGGAAGGAUCAUUAACGAACGCCCCGUUAUUUGAAAUGGUGAAUUCUACACCGUGUAUACAUACCUUUGUUGCUUUGGCAGGCCGCCCCUCAGGGCGUCGGCUCCGGCUGACUGCGCCUGCCAGAGGACCCAAACUCUUUUGUUUAGUGAUGUCUGAGUACUAUAUAAUAGUUAAAACUUUCAACAACGGAUCUCUUGGUUCUG
Molecule: unclassified non-coding RNA, 222 nt
Filed under: plant metagenome
Description: partial contains small subunit ribosomal RNA, internal transcribed spacer 1, and 5.8S ribosomal RNA
Source: RNAcentral